UGAUGACAAUUCUCCGGAAUCGCUGUACUUCUGUGAUGAUUCCAUUGAACCCUUUUGUGUCUGAUGACUGCUCGGCCUCAGU
Lampris incognitus (smalleye Pacific opah) is the source of this 82-nucleotide small nucleolar RNA. RefSeq annotates it as small nucleolar RNA MBII-202. The record is from RefSeq and is a predicted model, not a curated record. Lineage: Eukaryota; Metazoa; Chordata; Actinopteri; Lampriformes; Lampridae. The transcript has a single exon.